CGCCAGACUCCUACGGGAGGCAGCAGUGGGGAAUAUUGCACAAUGGGGGGAACCCUGAUGCAGCAACGCCGCGUGGGUGAAGAAGUACUCCGGUAUGUAAAGCCCUGUCAGCAGGGAAGAAAAUGACGGUACCUGACCAAGAAGCCCCGGCUAACUACGUGCCAGCAGCCGCGGUAAUACGUAGGGGGCGAGCGUUAUCCGGAUUCACUGGGUGUAAAGGGAGCGUAGACGGCCAUGCAAGCCAGGGGUGAAAGCCCGGGGCCCAACCCCGGGACUGCUCUGGAAACUGUAAAGCUGGAGUGCGGGAGGGGCAGGCGGAAUUCCUGGUGGAGCGGUGAAAUGCGUAGAUAUCAGGAGGAACACCGGCGGCGAAGGCGGCCUGCUGGACCGUAACUGACGUUGAGGCUCGAAAGCGUGGGGAGCAAACAGGAUUAGAUACCCCCGUAC
This 447-nucleotide ribosomal RNA is filed under the name uncultured bacterium. RNAcentral's name for it is "bacterial SSU rRNA". It matches the Rfam family "Bacterial small subunit ribosomal RNA", at positions 329 to 793 of the family's 1533-position model. The record is from RNAcentral.